GCACGAAGUUGGAAUUGCUAGUAAUCGCGGAUCAGCAUGCCGCGGUGAAUACGUUCCCGGGUCUUGUACACACCGCCCGUCACACCAUGGGAGCCGGUAAUACCCGAAGUCAGUAGUUUAACCCUUGUGGAGGACGCUGCCGAAGGUAGGAUUGGCGACUGGGGUGAAGUCGUAACAAGGUACC
This 184-nucleotide ribosomal RNA is filed under the name uncultured bacterium. Its description in RNAcentral is "partial 16S ribosomal RNA". It matches the Rfam family "Bacterial small subunit ribosomal RNA", at positions 1318 to 1500 of the family's 1533-position model. The record is from RNAcentral.